CAGCCGCCGCGGGAAUACGUAGGUGGCAAGCGUUGUCCGGAAUUAUUGGGCGUAAAGGGCUCGCAGGCGGGUUCUUAAGUCUGAUGUGAAAGCCCCCGGCUCAACCGGGGAGGGUCAUUGGAAACUGGGAAACUUGAGUGCAGAAGAGGAGAGUGGAAUUCCACGUGUAGCGGUGAAAUGCGUAGAGAUGUGGAGGAACACCAGUGGCGAAGGCGACUCUCUGGUCUGUAACUGACGCUGAGGAGCGAAAGCGUGGGGAGCGAACAGGAUUAGAUACCCCUGUAGUCCCUGUCUCUUAUAC
This 301-nucleotide ribosomal RNA is filed under the name uncultured bacterium. RNAcentral's name for it is "partial 16S ribosomal RNA". It matches the Rfam family "Bacterial small subunit ribosomal RNA", at positions 509 to 807 of the family's 1533-position model. The record is from RNAcentral.